AAGAUUGGCCGAGAGGCCUUAUCUCUAUAUCCCUCACCUCUGUGAACUGUGGACCCUCGGGUCUAUCUAUACAAACAUCAGUGUAAUGAACGUAAAGUAACAUUAACAAAACA
Molecule: unclassified non-coding RNA, 113 nt
Filed under: uncultured Cryptococcus
Lineage: Eukaryota; Fungi; Basidiomycota; Tremellomycetes
Description: sequence contains ITS1
Source: RNAcentral